UACGGGGGGGGGCAAGCGUUGUUCGGAAUUACUGGGCGUAAAGGGCGCGUAGGCGGCCCUCUAAGUCAGACGUGAAAUCCCACGGCUCAACCGUGGAACUGCGUCUGAUACUGGAGGGCUUGAAUCCGGGAGAGGGAUGUGGAAUUCCCAGUGUAGCGGUGAAAUGCGUAGAUAUUGGGGAGGAACACCAGUGGCGAAGGCGGCUCACUGGACCGGAACUGACGCUGAGGCGCGAAAGCGUGGGGAGCAAACAGG
Molecule: ribosomal RNA, 255 nt
Filed under: uncultured bacterium
Lineage: Bacteria
Description: partial 16S ribosomal RNA
Rfam family: Bacterial small subunit ribosomal RNA
Source: RNAcentral